RNAcentral lists this ribosomal RNA (465 nucleotides) under Vreelandella stevensii. Its description in RNAcentral is "partial 16S ribosomal RNA". It matches the Rfam family "Bacterial small subunit ribosomal RNA", at positions 338 to 795 of the family's 1533-position model. Lineage: Bacteria; Pseudomonadati; Pseudomonadota; Gammaproteobacteria; Oceanospirillales; Halomonadaceae. The record is from RNAcentral.
CCUACGGGAGGCAGCAGUGGGGAAUAUUGGACAAUGGGCGAAAGCCUGAUCCAGCCAUGCCGCGUGUGUGAAGAAGGCCUUCGGGUUGUAAAGCACUUUCAGUGGGGAAGAAAGCCUUGGGGCUAAUACCUUCGAGGAAGGACAUCACCCACAGAAGAAGCACCGGCUAACUCCGUGCCAGCAGCCGCGGUAAUACGGAGGGUGCGAGCGUUAAUCGGAAUUACUGGGCGUAAAGCGCGCGUAGGCGGUCUGAUAAGCCGGUUGUGAAAGCCCCGGGCUCAACCUGGGAACGGCAUCCGGAACUGUCAGGCUAGAGUGCAGAAGAGGAAGGUAGAAUUCCCGGUGUAGCGGUGAAAUGCGUAGAGAUCGGGAGGAAUACCAGUGGCUAAGGCGACCUUCUGGACUGACACUGACGCUGAGGUGCGAAAGCGUGGGUAGCAAACAGGAUUAGAUACCCGUGUAGUC